UAGGACAACGUUAAAUUCCUUGAAGGAUUUC
Molecule: non-coding RNA, 31 nt
Filed under: Mus musculus (house mouse)
Lineage: Eukaryota; Metazoa; Chordata; Mammalia; Rodentia; Muridae
Source: RNAcentral